Molecule: ribosomal RNA, 465 nt
Filed under: Vreelandella stevensii
Lineage: Bacteria; Pseudomonadati; Pseudomonadota; Gammaproteobacteria; Oceanospirillales; Halomonadaceae
Description: partial 16S ribosomal RNA
Rfam family: Bacterial small subunit ribosomal RNA
Source: RNAcentral
CCUACGGGUGGCAGCAGUGGGGAAUAUUGGACAAUGGGCGAAAGCCUGAUCCAGCCAUGCCGCGUGUGUGAAGAAGGCCUUCGGGUUGUAAAGCACUUUCAGUGGGGAAGAAAGCCUUGGGGCUAAUACCCUCGAGGAAGGACAUCACCCACAGAAGAAGCACCGGCUAACUCCGUGCCAGCAGCCGCGGUAAUACGGAGGGUGCGAGCGUUAAUCGGAAUUACUGGGCGUAAAGCGCGCGUAGGCGGCCUGAUAAGCCGGUUGUGAAAGCCCCGGGCUCAACCUGGGAACGGCAUCCGGAACUGUCAGGCUAGAGUGCAGGAGAGGAAGGUAGAAUUCCCGGUGUAGCGGUGAAAUGCAUAGAGAGCGGGAGGAAUACCAGUGGCGAAGGCGGUCUUCUGGACUGACACUGACGCUGAGGUGCGAAAGCGUGGGUAGCAAACAGGAUUAGAUACCCCGGUAGUC